This 281-nucleotide long non-coding RNA is filed under the name Elaeis guineensis (African oil palm). RNAcentral's name for it is "long non-coding RNA (EGUI_LNC072466)". Lineage: Eukaryota; Viridiplantae; Streptophyta; Magnoliopsida; Arecales; Arecaceae. The record is from RNAcentral.
GGGCCAGCUAUCAAGGCAAUUACUCCCUUCGCUCAAAACCCAACAGCUGCUUUGAACUCGAGAGUGGAGGGUAUAUAUUAUAGCAGAGAUCCACCGACUGAGAUCAAUCCUCCAUAGGAGUGCGCACUUAGACACCACCCUCUCAGCCAGCUGUGCAAGUAAAGCCUAUGCUUGACAUACAUAACUAACAACCUCGACAUAGAAGAGUGGGGGAGAUUCCUCCUAUGAUGAAAGCCAGAACAUGGCUAAUGUCCUGUAGAAUUAGGCCUGAUAAACAUAGA